Molecule: long non-coding RNA, 712 nt
Filed under: Homo sapiens (human)
Lineage: Eukaryota; Metazoa; Chordata; Mammalia; Primates; Hominidae
Description: HSALNT0347777
Source: RNAcentral
UUGUGUGUUUGAUGUGACAUGCUGAGUGUACGUCUCCCAUCACCCAAAUGCAAGCUCCUUGAGAGCAGCGACGUGGUAUUUCCAAUGCCUGGAACAGUACGUGGCACCUGAUGAGUACAGUCAAAGGUAUUUCGGAAUGUUUGCUGAGUGGGCUGGAAUGUUGGCGUGAUGGUUGAAGCUGUAACAGCCAUCUUCGACUACAAAAUGGAAGCUGCAUGCUACAAAUGACAGAAGACAAGAUCAAAAGAACCUGUGUUCCCAGCACCACAGAACUGUCCCUAUGGAAAUAGACAUGACUGUUACAUAAGAAAGAAAUAUACCCUACUAUGUUUAAGCCUCUGUUAUUUUAGCAUGUGUUGUAGCAGUUGUAUACUAAGUAACUAAUGAGAAAGAAUAUUUUGUGCCCUGGUAAAGAUGGAUACUUCUAUAUGUUAUGAGAACAAUUUGAUGAGGUAAUUGUAAUUUAGUAGAAUAAUAUCAAAUAUUAAUGUCAAAUGACUAGUUUGGCAUUGCCACAUAGUAAUUGUUGGGCAAGUUAUUAACCUGUGUCUCAGUUUCCUCACUGGUAGAAUAACAAUAACAGACAAUCGUACUAGUGUCUAACGUUUUACUGAACAUGUAGCUUGGUUCAGCGCCACACAUUAUUUGAAUUAAGUAGAAUAAGAGAGUCCUGAGUAAAUAUAACCCAAAUGUAAAUUAUUUUUAAACUUUA